This 507-nucleotide ribosomal RNA is filed under the name uncultured bacterium. RNAcentral's name for it is "partial 16S ribosomal RNA". It matches the Rfam family "Bacterial small subunit ribosomal RNA", at positions 29 to 507 of the family's 1533-position model. The record is from RNAcentral.
ACGCACGCUGGCGGCGUGCCUAAUACAUGCAAGUCGAGCGCAGGAAGUCAUCCGAACCCUUCGGGGGGACGUUGACGGAAUGAGCGGCGGACGGGUGAGUAACACGUAAAGAACCUGCCCUCAGGUCUGGGAUAACCACGAGAAAUCGGGGCUAAUACCGGAUGGGUCAUCGGACCGCAUGGUCCGAGGAUGAAAGGCGCUCCGGCGUCGCCUGGGGAUGGCUUUGCGGUGCAUUAGCUAGUUGGUGGGGUAAUGGCCCACCAAGGCGACGAUGCAUAGCCGACCUGAGAGGGUGAUCGGCCACACUGGGACUGAGACACGGCCCAGACUCCUACGGGAGGCAGCAGUAGGGAAUCUUCCACAAUGGACGAAAGUCUGAUGGAGCAACGCCGCGUGAACGAUGAAGGCCCUCGGGUCGUAAAGUUCUGUUGUAAGGGAAGAACAAGUGCCGCAGGCAAUGGCGGCACCUUGACGGUACCUGGCGAGAAAGCCACGGCUAACUACGUG